The sequence is a transfer RNA, 90 nucleotides long. It matches the Rfam family "tRNA". Rfam says of the family: Transfer RNA (tRNA) molecules are approximately 80 nucleotides in length. Their secondary structure includes four short double-helical elements and three loops (D, anti-codon, and T loops). The record is from Rfam.
CCCCUGAUGGUGUAGUUGGAUAUCACGUUUGACUGUAAUGGAAAUUCCUUUGUAAUCAAAAGGUCGCUGGCUCGAUUCCGGCUCGGGGGA